GAAAGUUAGCUGCAACUAGUACCAAUCCAGUCUAGUGUCCCCUGUCGAUGGAUCGUUUCAUCAUUUGUAUCCGUUCAGUACCUCUAUCUACUCCUACCCGGUUGAUGCAUGUCCUCGGGUGUCAGGACUCAGCUAGUUACGAUCGCACGAUCGAUCUGUGGACCUGUGCCAUGCUGUUCUAAGGCGUUUCUUAAUUUCAUUCCACUUCUCACCGAUAUGCAGAUUAUAUCUUAUCUAAAAUGGUAAAUUCUGUUAUGUUUCUUACCUACUACAUAUCUACCUUUGUUUCUCUUAUCAUAGCAACUCUUACCAUUGUACGUUUUUAAGCCUAAAUUAUCCUUCUCAUAAAGGAUUCUUGAGUAUUCUCUUCUUGACAUUUUCUCCCCAUUUUCGUGUCAGGUGUCCACUAUACCCUCC
RNAcentral lists this long non-coding RNA (417 nucleotides) under Setaria viridis. RNAcentral's name for it is "long non-coding RNA (SVIR_LNC003773)". The record is from RNAcentral. Lineage: Eukaryota; Viridiplantae; Streptophyta; Magnoliopsida; Poales; Poaceae.